Molecule: long non-coding RNA, 2068 nt
Organism: Ictalurus punctatus (channel catfish)
Lineage: Eukaryota; Metazoa; Chordata; Actinopteri; Siluriformes; Ictaluridae
Exons: 3
Source: RefSeq, a predicted model, not a curated record
GAUCGGCCUCGUCUCAAAAACACUAUGCAUUAGACGUACAUCCUAGGUAGUCGUGGAAGCCAUUAUUCCGCACCCUAUAUAUUGCACUUAUAUAGAUAGUAGGGUGUUGUUUGAGAUUUAGCCCACUUCACUUAGUGGGGCUGCUGCAACUGUCUGUAACAGCAACAACACACACACUGUUUACCAGCGUCUUCAGCACGUAACGAGUUUGUGCGGAUGAAAGUUAAAUCGAUAUGUGUGCUGACGAACGGAAAACAGCAAGCUUUUCGUGGACAAAAACACGGUUUCCAGUUGUCAUCUGUCGUAAUCAUGUUUCUGCCUUUUUAUUUUUAUUUUUUAUGUCUGUGAUGAAAUGGAAGGUUCGGAGGCCAGAUCGCUUUGUGGUGCUUGUAGACACAACACACCGCUUGAUUCGUGUCUUCACAACGUCGGUUGACAACCCAGUUGACUUGACUUAAUCAAUGCACAGACAAAUAUCGGUAUCUUCUGCCUUUAAUUCCCACUGCCCUGGAACAGCUACAGGCCACCUGGAUCUUCACCAAGCUGCAUGUCUGCAGUACAUACAUCCUAGUACAACCCCAAUUCCAAAAAGGAAAGUCAAGGAUGUAGAAAAUUGAUCAAGUUUACUCAUUGGGAGCUCGUUGGUUUUAAUUACUUUCCACUUCCGCUCGAGGCAUUUUUCAAUCAUCGUCUGCGACACAUUUCAUCAACUGCCGUUUUCCCAAAGGAGAUAAUGAUUGCAGGUUUAAUCCAUGCACUGUGGGGGCCACUUGCUCUGGCUAUGUGGAUAUAAUGAGUGGAGACAAGAAAGCUCUACAGGAAGCCAUGGCCACCAUUGGACCCAUUUCUGUUGCCAUAGAUUCAGGCCACACCUCCUUCCAGUUCUAUGAAACUGGUGCGUCUCACAUUGAAAAUCAUAAAUCAAUCCUGUGUUACCAGUUGGUAGUUGCUAAUGCUACCAGAACAAUCUGAAUCUGAAUGCUGUUAUGUAGUGGUUCACUUUUAUUUGGCAUAAUCUUUGGUCCAUUCAUUUACUGAUUAAAAUAUUUAAUAAUUUAUUCCAUAAUGUCGGAAUAAUUGACCACUAUCUGAUUGAUUAAAGGCAUCUACGAUGAGCCAGAGUCCACUGGACUCAUAUAAACACUCUGGGUGUUAAUUCAACACUAGCUUUUUUACUGUGCAGGUAAAAAAAAAAAGAAAAAAAAAGAAAAAAAGAAAGAAAUACUUGUGGUAUGUUGAGGUUCAAAGGAACUAUCUUGAAUAUGUUUCAUGUACUGUAGCCUACAACAAUAAUAAAUAACUAUUAUUAUUACUAUUAUUAUUAUUAUUAUUAGUAGUAGUAGUAGUAGUAGUAGUAGUAGUAGUAGUAGUAUCCAAGGCUCGAUUUUGGCUAUACCUUUUCAUUUCUAAAUUAAAAUAUCUAAACCAUGAGUUAAUUAUUUCUAUUUGCAAUAACUGUGUUAGUUUUAAAUUAUAUGACUUAAGAUAGAAUCAAGCAAGAUUAAGCCAGUGUGCCACAUUAACCACAAAAUUUCUCCCGAAAUUUACAUUUACUUUAUAGCUGGGGUCUCGACUGGGGUAACAAAGGCUACACAAUGAUGUCAAUGGACAAGCAUAACCAGUGUGGUACUGCCACAAAAGCCAGCUAUCCUGUGGUUUAAAGGUGUUACAGAAAUGUCAGUGUGACAGCUAUUAAAAGGCUCUUUUUUAUUUUAAGUGACGAUAAAUGGGAUUCAGUUUCAAAAGAAUAAUAAUAAUAACAAACAAUUUUUAGUAUCAAUAUCUUCUACCUUAACAAUUAUUUCAUAUUAAGUAGAAAACGGCAAUAAUACUGGAACUGUGUUAAUCUGCACUUUGAGGAGUUGGUCAUUUUUAAUUUAGCUUUCCUUUCAUGAUUUGUUAAAAAAUAUGGCAUUCAGUGGUCAGCUGAACUAUUUUCAUUUAAAUAAAAGCAUUUCCACACACACUGUCUUAUUGUUACACACUGUCUUUUGCAGAUGCACUUUACAGCAACGUAUUGCUCGACUCCAAUCAAAUUGUUACCAGUGAUUUAUCUUACAUCUUCACC